This 396-nucleotide ribosomal RNA is filed under the name uncultured bacterium. RNAcentral's name for it is "partial 16S ribosomal RNA". It matches the Rfam family "Bacterial small subunit ribosomal RNA", at positions 523 to 917 of the family's 1533-position model. The record is from RNAcentral.
AUACGUAGGGGGCGAGCGUUGUCCGGAAUGAUUGGGCGUAAAGGGCGCGUAGGCGGCCCGGUAAGUCUGGAGUGAAAGUCCUGUUUUUAAGAUGGGAAUUGCUUUGGAUACUGUCGGGCUUGAGUGCAGGAGAGGUAAGUGGAAUUCCCAGUGUAGCGGUGAAAUGCGUAGAGAUUGGGAAGAACACCAGUGGCGAAGGCGGGUAACUGGACUGCAACUGACGCUGAGGCGCGAAAGUGUGGGGAGCAAACAGGAUUAGAUACCCUGGUAGUCCACACUGUAAACGAUGAAUGCUAGGUGUAGGGGGUAUCGACCCCUUCUGUGCCGCAGUAAACACAAUAAGCAUUCCGCCUGGGGAGUACGGCCGCAAGGUUGAAACUCAAAUGAAUUGGCGGG